CUGAGUGAGGGCCUUCGGGCUCGACCUCCAACCCUUUGUGAACACAACUUGUUGCUUCGGGGGCGACCCUGCCGUUUCGACGGCGAGCGCCCCCGGAGGCCUUCAAACACUGCAUCUUUGCGUCGGAGUUUAAGUAAAUUAAACA
This 145-nucleotide unclassified non-coding RNA is filed under the name uncultured fungus. RNAcentral's name for it is "sequence contains ITS1, 5.8S rRNA gene". RNAcentral also lists the same sequence under 2 other names. The record is from RNAcentral. Lineage: Eukaryota; Fungi.